Molecule: long non-coding RNA, 1890 nt
Organism: Mustela erminea (ermine)
Lineage: Eukaryota; Metazoa; Chordata; Mammalia; Carnivora; Mustelidae
Exons: 2
Source: RefSeq, a predicted model, not a curated record
AGGAAACAAACACAUGAAGGGUGAUGUCAUACCCAACACAGCCAGAGGCAAGUGUCUAGCAAGGCCUCUGCACAGAAAUCUUUGAUCUGCCCUCUGAGGAUCGCCACCGAGUCCCUCCUUCCAGCAUCAGCAUGACAACAUCCCUGCGGCUGGACUUGUCCCCACCUGCGAGCCGCCCUGAUGCCCACGAAGUUUUAAAAAGAAAAUCACUCCUACAAAGGCCUUUGAGUAUAAAACGAGGCCAGAAGAGGUUAUCUGCAUUGCAAAGACGCAAGAGCAGCAAACUGAACAGAAGACUGUGAACCCACAGGGGCUGGAACCCACAGGGACUCAGCCCAGAAAGCACUCUGUCCCCUUGGCCCAGGACCUCUCAGGGGUCUUCCAGAUAGGAUUUCUUUGUGCCAAACAGCUUCAUACUCAUGGCUCUGUGACUCUCACCUCCACCCCUACAUCUGCCCCUGUGAACCCGAAACCUCCCCAAGGUGUGGACUUCAGCUCUCAGCCGUGCAGUGCCCAGAUUCUACCAACAACUCUCACCAGGAGGGCAGCCACAGAUCACAAGCCCUGCCAACCAGGCACCUGGUGCUUCCAGGGGGGCUAGCACAGGGAACAGGGGCUAGGGACACCUUUCAUACAGAUUUGAGAACAGAAGUCACACGCACGUCUUUAAAAAUCAUGCUGAGGAAUAUAUCAAUUAAUGCAGGUGGUUUCACUUGAAGCAAGAAGAAUGACUGCAGCCUUAGAAAAGGAGGUAUUUUCUCUAAGUAACAUCAGAAAACAAUUUGGUUUCACUCAGCCUGACCACAAAACAUCUGCUUAUAUUAACUCAAACGUUAAUAUACCUGCAUCAUGGGUUAUAAAUGGAAAUUUACUGUGCAAACCAUAUAACACUCUGCAACCAUUUUGAAACAUGUAACAACUGCUCCUAUGGGUGAAAUAAUGAAUUAAAUUGGUAUUAUAGGGCUUAAUUCAUUAUUUUACCCUGAGGAAAAAUUCCAAAACAGUGAUUAUGAAUUAUGACCACAAUUUGCUAUAACACUUGCCAAUUUAAAACCAAUAGUGCCCUGCUUCUUUUCAUGUUCAGGGUUGAGUGUAUUAAGUAAGAUUUGGGUUGGCCAGACUGUAAGACACAGAACUUGGCCAUCACUCCCAAUUAAGGGAGAGGUUAAGUGAGCAUUAAAUAGGCAGCCCUCAAAGUUCUGAGUGUCACCUCCUUCUGCCCAAUCCACUUGCAGGAGCUCCGAACAAAUUAGGGAGGUCUUGCUGGUUCCGAUGGCUUCAGUCACUGAUCCUGGGAUCAGAUUGGGAACGGUUGGUAGCACGUUUACAGACAGGGACUCAGGACCCAACAAGGAAGUGGAAGGAUGGGGCACCAGCAGUCAUUGAGUACAGAAAAGCCUAAUGUUGGGACCCUUUGCUCUUCCUCUGCGUUGUCUACAUCCCCUUCUGGAGAGGCGCAGUGAACGCAGGUGUGCCCUGGGGCCAACACGAGCUGAGCAGCUCCCAUGGACCCUGCAUGCUGCCAGGUACUCUGCAUUCCCAGCAAUUCUGUGGGGUGGUGGUUCUUGCCACACUCAAGUCCAGUGAGGCAAAUCUUCUUGGCCCAAAUUACACCGACAGACAGUGAUAUAAAGAGGAUUUGUAACAGACUCUAUCGAGUCCCUGAGCCCACACACUUUUGUCAUCUCUUGCUGGGAUAGGGCAUCAGUGGAUUACGGAUGUCCUUGCUGCCAGCCUUUCUCUGGCCCAUCCCAGCAUGCUUUUAGAGGCUUCUAAGUGUCAGGCAUCAGCAAAGGUUAACAAACUUCUGCUGCUCACCACCUCCUACAGGAGAAAGGCAAACUUCUGACUCUUACUCAAGCUACUUCAUUUAUGAAGUGUAUAAAAGGG